GCCGGUGUAGCUCAGUGGUAGAGCAACGCUUUCGUAAAGCGUGGGUCGUCGGUUCAAAUCCGACCACCGGCU
Molecule: transfer RNA, 72 nt
Filed under: Candidatus Sungiibacteriota bacterium
Lineage: Bacteria; Candidatus Sungiibacteriota
Description: Candidatus Sungbacteria bacterium tRNA-Thr
Rfam family: tRNA
About the family: Transfer RNA (tRNA) molecules are approximately 80 nucleotides in length. Their secondary structure includes four short double-helical elements and three loops (D, anti-codon, and T loops).
Source: RNAcentral